CCUGAGUUGGUUAAACACCUUUACUGUGGCCAGCCUACUUUCUAAAGGGAGAAAAUCCAGAGCUUUGCUGUCUUGGUCCCCAAAAGCAGGACCAAGUAUUUUCUGACCAAAGAGAUAUUCUGACUGUCACAUCCCUAACUGUGUUUGACUCAUUAUUCUGUCUACUACUUCCCAUGUAAUCUUGGAGGAUAAUACUCUUAUGAUAACCAAAGGAGGCCUGGAGAUAAGUCUGGCAUCCAAGACAAUCAUGAAUCAAAAAACAGAUGGGAGAAAAUCAGGGGUUUGCUCAUCAGAGGGAGACAAGUGUAAAUACUAAAAACAUCAGCACAGAGUCAAGAGAUGUGGCCAAAAGAGAAGCAACUUUGCCAGGUAUUCUCCUAUCACAAAAUAAGGAGGU
Chiroxiphia lanceolata (lance-tailed manakin) is the source of this 397-nucleotide long non-coding RNA. RefSeq lists it as uncharacterized. The record is from RefSeq and is a predicted model, not a curated record. NCBI's taxonomy places the organism in Eukaryota, Metazoa, Chordata, Aves, Passeriformes, Pipridae. The transcript has 4 exons.